Molecule: small RNA, 428 nt
Filed under: Pongo abelii (Sumatran orangutan)
Lineage: Eukaryota; Metazoa; Chordata; Mammalia; Primates; Hominidae
Description: retained intron
Source: RNAcentral
CUUUUUUGGAGGGGGCUGGCUUAUUCACUUAAUGUCCUUAGCUUCCCCUCAUGUUUUAUCAAGUGUUAGAAUUUCCUUCAUCAGGGCUUUUUAGUAUUCCGUUGUGUGUAUAUAUACAUUUUUCAUUCAUUUGUUGAUGGACAGUUGGGUUGCUUCUACCUUUUGACUUUUGUGAAUAAUGUUGCUUUUAACAUGGGUGUGCAGCUACCAUUUUUUGACAUUGACUUUUUAUUUUUAGAUGGGCACUCUGGUUUUUUAAAAAUGAUAAAAGCAAAACUUGGCAAGCAAACCUGCGGCUGAUCUCCAAGUUUGAUACUGUUGAAGACUUUUGGGCUCUGUACAACCAUAUCCAGUUGUCUAGUAAUUUAAUGCCUGGCUGUGACUACUCACUUUUUAAGGAUGGUAUUGAGCCUAUGUGGGAAGAUGAG